ACACAUGCAACGUCGAACGGUAACAGGAGGAAUGCUUGCUUCUUUGCUGCACGAGUGGCGGACGGGUGAGUAAUGUCUGGGAAACUGCCUGAUGGAGGGGGAUAACUACUGGAAACGGUAGCUAAUACCGCAUAACGUCGCAAGACCAAAGAGGGGGACCUUAGGGCCUCUUGCCAUCGGAUGUGCCCAGAUGGGAUUAGCUAGUAGGUGGGGUAAAGGCUCACCUAGGCGACGAUCCCUAGCUGGUCUGAGAGGAUGACCAGCCACACUGGAACUGAGACACGGUCCAGACUCCUACGGGAGGCAGCAGUGGGGAAUAUUGCACAAUGGGCGCAAGCCUGAUGCAGCCAUGCCGCGUGUAUGAAGAAGGCCUUGGGGUUGUAAAGUACUUUCAGCGGGGAGGAAGGGAGUAAAGUUAAUACCUUUGCUCAUUGACGUUACCCGCAG
This 447-nucleotide ribosomal RNA is filed under the name uncultured bacterium. Its description in RNAcentral is "bacterial SSU rRNA". It matches the Rfam family "Bacterial small subunit ribosomal RNA", at positions 51 to 484 of the family's 1533-position model. The record is from RNAcentral.